AUAGCGUAUAUUAAAGUUGUUGCCGUUAAAAAGCUCGUAGUCGAACUUCGGCCUUUGCUGGUUGGUCCGCCUUUUGGUGUGUACUGAUCUAGCGAAGGCUUACCUCUUGGUGAACUGUGAUGUCCUUUAUUGGGUGUUGUAGGGAACCAAGACUUUUACUUUGAAAAAAUUAGAGUGUUCAAAGCAGGCCUAUGCCCGAAUACAUUAGCAUGGAAUAAUAGAAUAGGACGUGCACUCCUAUUUUGUUGGUUUCUAGGAGCGCCGUAAUGAUUAAUAGGGAUAGUUGGGGGCAUUUGUAUUACAGCGUCAGAGGUGAAAUUCUUGGAUUGCUGUAAGACAAACUACUG
RNAcentral lists this ribosomal RNA (347 nucleotides) under uncultured eukaryote. Its description in RNAcentral is "SSU rRNA". It matches the Rfam family "Eukaryotic small subunit ribosomal RNA", at positions 594 to 945 of the family's 1831-position model. The record is from RNAcentral.